GUUGUAUCGGUUCGAUCGGGAUACUCAUCAAAUUACAUUGAAAACUGAGACGUAUCUCUUGCCAAUGGCGGGCCACAUAAAUCGCCUUUGCGACUAAGCUUCAAGCCGGUGGAUUACAAAGACGGAGAGCGCUCACAACUUUUAUAGCUGGAGUUUUCAUCACAUCAUCGGUAUGAU
This 177-nucleotide small RNA is filed under the name Hallella faecis. RNAcentral describes it as "Bacteroidales-1 6S-Bacteroidales RNA suggested". It matches the Rfam family "Bacteroidales-1 6S-Bacteroidales RNA suggested". RNAcentral also lists the same sequence under 1 other name. Lineage: Bacteria; Pseudomonadati; Bacteroidota; Bacteroidia; Bacteroidales; Prevotellaceae. The record is from RNAcentral.